This 445-nucleotide ribosomal RNA is filed under the name uncultured bacterium. RNAcentral describes it as "partial 16S ribosomal RNA". It matches the Rfam family "Bacterial small subunit ribosomal RNA", at positions 354 to 796 of the family's 1533-position model. The record is from RNAcentral.
GUGAGGAAUAUUGGUCAAUGGGCGGGAGCCUGAACCAGCCAAGUCGCGUGAAGGAAGAAGGAUCUAUGGUUCGUAAACUUCUUUUGCAGGGGAAUAAAGUGCAGGACGUGUCCUGUUUUGUAUGUACCCUGAGAAUAAGGAUCGGCUAACUCCGUGCCAGCAGCCGCGGUAAUACGGAGGAUCCGAGCGUUAUCCGGAUUUAUUGGGUUUAAAGGGUGCGUAGGUGGUUUGAUAAGUCAGAGGUGAAAGUUUGCAGCUUAACUGUAAAAAUGCCGUUGAAACUGUCGGACUUGAGUGUAAAUGAGGUAGGCGGAAUGCGUGGUGUAGCGGUGAAAUGCAUAGAUAUAACACAGAACUCCGAUUGCGAAGGCAGCUUACUGGGAUGCAACUGACACUGAUGCACGAAAGCGUGGGUAUCAAACAGGAUUAGAAACCCUGGUAGUCC